GCUCACAUCUUCCAUCUUAAACAACCUUAAUUUAUGUCUCUCAAACUCGGAAACAAUGAACUGCGCUAUAUCAGAGGACAAAAUGUAGCCUGGUCCAUUUGCAUAGGGUGGAUAAUCUUCCUCUGGCCACUCCUGAAACCACAAAAACGAUGGAUAAAAAUGGCAAGCGAACGUCCAAAAGAAUCAUCGGCAAAAAGAAGAAGAAAAAGGAGGAGGAAAAGGAAAAUGUUAGUUCAACAACCAAGUUAAAGAACAGCAGACGAAAUAUCAAUGCCAUCAUUUUUUUUCUUUCAAUUGUGAAACAAACAAUUAAUAAACAUGGGAAGGGAUAUAGGAGAGAGCUUUUCAAAUCCAGGAUUAUCACAACGCAUACAACUUGAUCAAGACAAGCAUCAUUUAAACCCAGAGUACAGUGCUUCGUAUAUGAUCUUUUUUGAAGAGGUAAACUCAUAGAUCUAUUCCUUCAGAUUUGAUUCCAAUACAUAUAGCAUGAGUAAUGCUACACAUCCAUCACAACCAAGGGGCUAGCAUUGACAUAAAAUCUAAACAUUAGACAGACUAAAUGCAACCCAACAAUGUGUAUCAGUGACCUCUCACAUAAAAUUGAAUGCACCAAGUCUUAUUAGCUAUCUGAUAAAAUUAAAGGAUGAAGCAAUUAAUUGGGUUACCCAUACCUCAUAUGUCACUGCCCAUUUACCAUAUCGAAGAGGCUUAUGGUAGUAAUUUAUGUUCCCAAUGUACAAGCUCCUACCCUCAGGAACUUUUCUUGCUUCAUCAAUGACUGCGUCCACUCUAACAAAUGUGUCAUCAUCACCCUUCAUAAUGUACUUUGCAUGCACAGUGCGGACCCCGUAUUCACAGAUGGCAACUGUUUUUAAUACCACAAGAUCAUAGUUAUCCAUGUAAGGCACAAUAACAAUGUCACCAAAAAAUUCUGCCUCUUUCUUCAACUCCAAAUUCACUUCUUUCCGUGCAUGCAAUGCUACAAAGAACCGAGCUACCAUAUUUGAAGAUUUAAUGAGACUGUGCUGCAUCCAAGACUUCCUCACAGCCAUCCUCUCAGCAAAAUGGUUGCCUGCAGAAAGAACACCAAUAAAAAGUUCUGCUGGCCCGUCAGGAAGAGGUGGUGCUCUCCAUCUGUCUGUCAUCUCUAAAUGCCGCUGAGGAGCAAAACUUGGGUGUGUUGUGGGCAACGAAGCAGCAAAUACAGAGUGAACGUCCACGUCACCAUUCACAGUUAGCCCUGUGGCAUCCUCAAGAGUAUAACCAGUGCGAUAAGGAAACGAAGUGGCAUGCCUCCCAUCAACAGUGACAUGAUAACCUUCCAAACCAGCACUAAGAGUUAGAACAAACAGCCUCUCCUCUACAAAUGGAAAUGGCCAGUCAACAGACACCUUUUUAGUUCGGCCUAUUAGCCGGCUUAACCACCAAAUAGCCUUUGACUCCUCUGAGCGAUUGUCAUCAUCACGGAUCCACUUCUCACACUUCACUUGAUCAUCAACCGUCUCCUCAUCAGCCUUAGACUUCCAACCCUCACAUCGUAAAGCAGUCCCCCACUGCAUCCUAUAACAAGUAUUAUGCUCAAUCACCGGCUUCCCACUCCAAUCCCCCUUCAGCCUUGGAUUGAAAUGCAGAAUCCUUGGCGGGUCCUCGCCUUCCACAAUCUUCAAUCCCUGCAACUCCAUCAUAAACUGCGAAACCAUCACCAGCUCUCCACCAUCUUUCACCAGCGAUAUCUUUGGGUCGUUCUCAGCAUGGGCCCUCCUUGGCUUCCCCACCACCGUUACGUGCGACCCCAAAGUCAGCCCACAUGGCAACUCCACGACCUUCCCUCGCUUCAGAAAAUCGGAACGAGAUAGAGAAAUCGAAUGCGGGCACGAUUCGGAUAGGUUCUGGGGCUUCUUAACUUCCAAAACCUUAAUUUUACCCGACUCUAUCCCUCCCCAAAGCUUACUUCCCACUUCCCAAGCAGUCUUAGCAGUCCUAUGAAGCUCCACGGAUCCAUCUUUUUUAGUAGGAUCAAAUGUUUCCGGAUCAAAAUUCAAACCUGACAACAUUUUAACGGGUCUGUAGGUACUUUGGGACUGAGUUGGUUGGGCCGAGUUAUGAGAGACCCAGUCAAGGGGACGAGUUGGAGCAUCUCUAUCCUGCAAAUCCUCUUCGCUUUGAAGCAUAGAAGGGCGAGUGAGGGUUUCUUGAGAGACAGCACUGAAACCAGUAUUGAACACAAAAGGGAUUUCUAGAGUUACGAGGCAUAUAUACAAAAAACCAACACCAAUCAGGAUUUGAAUCGAUCUUUGCCUGCUUAAAGACACAAACAUGUCAAAUUUAUCCAAUCUGGUUUCCGAUUUGCCCCUCUUCAUAUUGCAAACAAAUAUCAAAACGAAAAAAAGAAACCUAAUUUCUGAAAUAAAGAGGGAAAAUAAAAUCUGGGUUUAGAGAAAUGGAGGAGACAGAGGCAAAAGAUAGGUCUUAUAGAGGGUCCAAAGGCAGAAGAAGAGAAACCAAUUAGGUGAUCAAGAACGUAAACGUUCACAGAAGAAACGCGUAGAGAAGAGAGAGAAGAUUUGAAAUGCAAUGAAACGGGCAAAACCGCAAAAGAUAUUGCCCUCUCCUCCUUUGCAAAAUUUUUAAUUAUGGGGGCAUUUUGAGCAAGUCGGUCACGUCAAGCUUUUAUUCCAG
RNAcentral lists this unclassified non-coding RNA (2682 nucleotides) under Hevea brasiliensis (rubber tree). The record is from RNAcentral. Lineage: Eukaryota; Viridiplantae; Streptophyta; Magnoliopsida; Malpighiales; Euphorbiaceae.